Molecule: long non-coding RNA, 433 nt
Organism: Onychomys torridus (southern grasshopper mouse)
Lineage: Eukaryota; Metazoa; Chordata; Mammalia; Rodentia; Cricetidae
Exons: 3
Source: RefSeq, a predicted model, not a curated record
UCUCGCGGCAUUAUAGCCCGUCGCGAGACCGGAAGCCUCUUUCCAUUUCCGUCCCCUCCGGUAGAGUCCUGGCGGUGGAAGGGACCCGGAGACGGGCGGACCCUGAGGGCUGUGCACCCGCCUCAUCCAGGGCAGCUUCCUGGAAGACUCUGAAAGAGAUGGGGGUCUCACUUCUAGCUGCCCUGGAUCUUCCUCUGUGGACCAAGCUGGCCUGGAAUUCACAGAGAUUCACUUGCCUCCACACCCUAAGUGCUGGGAUUAAAGUCAUGCACCUUUUUGCACAGCUCAGUGAAGCUUUUGAAAUGUAUUAGCUUAGUAGACCUCUAGCUUCCACCAGCUCCCAAGAGGUGUCCUCCAAACCCUGCUCUUGAAAGACUCAGAUAUAAGGCAUAAAAGAAAAGUCACAAAAUAAAGUCUGUUUUCUGCUGUCUCA